Sphaeramia orbicularis (orbiculate cardinalfish) is the source of this 180-nucleotide long non-coding RNA. RefSeq lists it as uncharacterized. The record is from RefSeq and is a predicted model, not a curated record. NCBI's taxonomy places the organism in Eukaryota, Metazoa, Chordata, Actinopteri, Kurtiformes, Apogonidae. The transcript has 4 exons.
AGCCCAUGGGAUGAAUUUGUAAAUGCAUAAAAUUUGACUUAAGAUAUUAACAACCAUUGUAGUUCAGGUUCCAAUUCAAUCUCAAGUUUCUCAGAUCACUAAAAUGCUGCCAUAGUAACCUAAAAAUAAUGACAACUCCAAAUUUACUUUUUUUUUUUUAACGCAAAUUACAUGUAAAUA